RNAcentral lists this ribosomal RNA (250 nucleotides) under uncultured prokaryote. Its description in RNAcentral is "partial 16S ribosomal RNA". It matches the Rfam family "Bacterial small subunit ribosomal RNA", at positions 524 to 773 of the family's 1533-position model. The record is from RNAcentral.
UACGGAGGAUGCGAGCGUUAUCCGGAUUCAUUGGGUUUAAAGGGUUCGCAGGCGGCCGGACAAGUCAGCGGUGAAAGUCAGGGGCCCAACCCCGGAAGUGCCGUUGAUACUGGUUGGCUGGAAUGCGGUCUAGGCGGGCGGAAUGUGGUGUGUAGCGGUGAAAUGCGUAGAUAUGCCACAGAACGCCGAUAGCGAAGGCAGCUCGCCAGGCCUGUAUUGACGCUCGGGCACGAAAGCGUGGGGAUCGAAC